Molecule: ribosomal RNA, 255 nt
Filed under: uncultured bacterium
Lineage: Bacteria
Description: partial 16S ribosomal RNA
Rfam family: Bacterial small subunit ribosomal RNA
Source: RNAcentral
UACGUAGGGGGCAAGCGUUGUCCGGAUUUAUUGGGCGUAAAGAGCGUGUAGGCGGCCGUACAGGUCAGCUGUGAAAAACUCGAGGCUCAACCUCGAGACGUCGGUUGAAACCGUACGGCUAGAGUCCGGAAGAGGAGAGUGGAAAUUCCCGGUGUAGCGGUGAAAUGCGCAGAUAUCGGGAAGAACACCCGUGGCGAAGGCGGCUCUCUGGGACGGUACUGACGCUGAGACGCGAAAGCGUGGGGAGCGAACAGG